Small nuclear RNA from Grammomys surdaster, 106 nucleotides. Lineage: Eukaryota; Metazoa; Chordata; Mammalia; Rodentia; Muridae. The record is from RefSeq and is a predicted model, not a curated record.
GUGCUCACUUUGGCAGAACCUAUACUAAAGUUGGAAUGACACAGAGAAGAUUGGUAUGGCCUCUGUAAAGGAUGACACACAAAUUCAUGAAGCAUCCCAUUUUUUA